This 171-nucleotide ribosomal RNA is filed under the name Triticum aestivum (bread wheat). Its description in RNAcentral is "partial small subunit ribosomal RNA". Lineage: Eukaryota; Viridiplantae; Streptophyta; Magnoliopsida; Poales; Poaceae. The record is from RNAcentral.
AUGCUUUAUGUUGAACUUAAUCUUGUUCAUAUAUGUGUAUGUAGCAGGUGGGAUGAUGAUGUUGUAUUCAAGAACCAAGCUCGUGGAGAGGCCAAGACACCGAAACGGUUCAUCAACGACACCAUCAGAAGCGGUUUCCACGACAAGUUUCUGCAUAGGUACAUGAAAUGA